This is a non-coding RNA of Chiloscyllium plagiosum (whitespotted bambooshark), 247 nucleotides long. The record is from RefSeq and is a predicted model, not a curated record. Lineage: Eukaryota; Metazoa; Chordata; Chondrichthyes; Orectolobiformes; Hemiscylliidae.
GGCAAGAGCGAAGUCAUGUUCUUUGGGAACUGGGCUGAUUGAUUCUUUAUCCCCUUCACCAACAGGAAAGACUACCUGAAAGAUAUGUGAUCAGAGAAAGAAUGAAAAUGAGAAAAUGAACAUGGGACAAGAGGCAAAAAUGAAGGUUAAAGUGGAGUCCUUACAGUUGGUUGGUCAUUUUCAUAAACCUCCCGGACCUCUUCUUUGGAACAGGUUUCUUCACAGCACUCCCUUUCCAGAUUCCCUU